RNAcentral lists this ribosomal RNA (394 nucleotides) under uncultured bacterium. RNAcentral describes it as "bacterial SSU rRNA". It matches the Rfam family "Bacterial small subunit ribosomal RNA", at positions 30 to 423 of the family's 1533-position model. The record is from RNAcentral.
AUUGAACGCUGGCGGCAUGCCUUACACAUGCAAGUCGAACGGCAGCACGGGAGCUUGCUCCUGGUGGCGAGUGGCGAACGGGUGAGUAAUAUAUCGGAACGUACCCUAGAGUGGGGAUAACGCAGCGAAAGUUGCGCUAAUACCGCAUACGAUCUACGGAUGAAAGUGGGGGAUCGCAAGACCUCAUGCUCAUGGAGCGGCCGAUAUCUGAUUAGCUAGUUGGUGGGGUAAAGGCCUACCAAGGCAUCGAUCAGUAGCUGGUCUGAGAGGACGACCAGCCACACUGGGACUGAGACACGGCCCAGACUCCUACGGGAGGCAGCAGUGGGGAAUUUUGGACAAUGGGCGCAAGCCUGAUCCAGCAAUGCCGCGUGCAGGAUGAAGGCCUCGGUGU